AGCUUUGUGCAGCGGCAGUAUCGUAGCCAAUGAGGUUUAUCCGAGGUGCAAUUAUUGCUAAUUGAAAAAUAUAUAAAUAAAUAAAAUAAUUCUUUAAAAAAAAAUCCU
This 108-nucleotide small nuclear RNA is filed under the name Tupaia belangeri chinensis (Chinese tree shrew). Its description in RNAcentral is "Tupaia chinensis (Chinese tree shrew) U4 spliceosomal RNA". It matches the Rfam family "U4 spliceosomal RNA". From Rfam's summary of the family: U4 small nuclear RNA (U4 snRNA) is a component of the major U2-dependent spliceosome. The record is from Rfam by way of RNAcentral. Lineage: Eukaryota; Metazoa; Chordata; Mammalia; Scandentia; Tupaiidae.